CAGCCGCCGCGGUAAUACGUAGGUGGCAAGCGUUGUCCGGAAUUAUUGGGCGUAAAGGGCUCGCAGGCGGUUUCUUAGGUCUGAUGUGAAAGCCCCCGGCUCAACCGGGGAGGGUCAUUGGAAACUGGGAAACUUGAGUGCAGAAGAGGAGAGUGGAAUUCCACGUGUAGCGGUGAAAUGCGUAGAGAUGUGGAGGAACACCAGUGGCGAAGGCGACUCUCUGGUCUGUAACUGACGCUGAGGAGCGAAAGCGUGGGGAGCGAACAGGAUUAGAUACCCCCGUAGUCCCUGUCUCUUAUCA
RNAcentral lists this ribosomal RNA (301 nucleotides) under uncultured bacterium. Its description in RNAcentral is "partial 16S ribosomal RNA". It matches the Rfam family "Bacterial small subunit ribosomal RNA", at positions 509 to 809 of the family's 1533-position model. The record is from RNAcentral.